This 23-nucleotide non-coding RNA is filed under the name Rattus norvegicus (Norway rat). Lineage: Eukaryota; Metazoa; Chordata; Mammalia; Rodentia; Muridae. The record is from RNAcentral.
AUAUUAUGGGAAUAUGUUUUGGU